This is a long non-coding RNA of Vicia villosa (hairy vetch), 781 nucleotides long. RefSeq lists it as uncharacterized. The record is from RefSeq and is a predicted model, not a curated record. The transcript has 3 exons. NCBI's taxonomy places the organism in Eukaryota, Viridiplantae, Streptophyta, Magnoliopsida, Fabales, Fabaceae.
GGAGGCUCUUAUUGGGGCUCUUAUAGGGUUGGUUCGUGUGAGAGUGGAUAUGAGGGAAGAAAAGGAAACUGUUAUUGAAGAAGGCAAAGUUGAAACUGUUGAAGGAUCCCCCAAAGUAACGAAACUAUUAAGGAAAAACUAGGUGUUGCUGCUGAACCCAUGAUAAAUGAUGACAUGGCUGAGGCUAAUGUUGUUCCUUGUUCAGAGAUGUUGGAUUCUGGAAUUAGUGCUCAUGAUAUCGUCUGUCAUGAUCACAAGAUUUUUCAAUUUAGGUUUUGAAAGAGACAAAAUAAACACCAUUUUGAUGAUGAAUAUCUAACAAAUCUGUCUCGAGGGAUAGUCUCACCCACUGAUUCUAUCACAUACAGUUCUAAGAAAGAGAGAGUUUCCUGAGAGUGAUAGUUGUGGCAGAUUCUGAGGCUACAACAUUGUUGGUAUCGGAGAACUCUAUUUUGAACAUGCAACAUAGCUAAUUGGGGGUCACUUGAUUUAUGAUAAGAAAGUUAGUAAUGAGAAUCGAGAAAGAGCGUUAAAUCCUCAACAUCCCUAUAGAAAGUCAUGUUUAGGGUGUGCUCGUCUGGAAGCUGAUAUGUUAGAGUUUUAUACGCAAGAUUGAAAAGCUUUGCAAUGACAUGGAUAAGAUGAGAAGUGAAUUGAGGUAUGCACCUUAGAGUUUUAUACAUAAAUAUUUUUCUACAUCGAAAACGAAACCUUCGAGUUCUUAAGUUGAAUUAUGUAAUCAUGACAGAUAUCUCUAUUUCUAGUGGAUUGGAUUUUGAAU